Molecule: ribosomal RNA, 508 nt
Filed under: uncultured bacterium
Lineage: Bacteria
Description: partial 16S ribosomal RNA
Rfam family: Bacterial small subunit ribosomal RNA
Source: RNAcentral
GAUGAACGCUAGCUACAGGCUUAACACAUGCGAGUCGAGGGGAAACGAUAGGGAAAGCUUGCUUUUUCUAGGCGUCGACCGGCGCACGGGUGAGUAACGCGUAUCCAACCUGCCCAUCACUUGGGGAUAACCUUGCGAAAGUAAGACUAAUACCCAAUGACGUCUCUAGAAGACAUCUGAAGGAGAUUAAAGAUUUAUCGGUGAUGGAUGGGGAUGCGUCUGAUUAGCUUGUUGGCGGGGUAACGGCCCACCAAGGCGACGAUCAGUAGGGGUUCUGAGAGGAAGGUCCCCCACAUUGGAACUGAGACACGGUCCAAACUCCUACGGGAGGCAGCAGUGGGGAAUAUUGGUCAAUGGACGAGAGUCUGAACCAGCCAAGUAGCGUGCAGGAAGACGGCCCUAUGGGUUGUAAACUGCUUUUAUAAGGGAAUAAAGUGAGUCUCGUGAGACUUUUUGCAUGUACCUUAUGAAUAAGGACCGGCUAAUUCCGUGCCAGCCGCCGCAGUAA